Molecule: ribosomal RNA, 402 nt
Filed under: uncultured bacterium
Lineage: Bacteria
Description: bacterial SSU rRNA
Rfam family: Bacterial small subunit ribosomal RNA
Source: RNAcentral
AUUGAACGCUGGCGGCAGGCCUAACACAUGCAAGUCGAGCGGUAGAGAGGUGCUUGCAUCUCUUGAGAGCGGCGGACGGGUGAGUAAUGCCUAGGAAUCUGCCUGGUGGUGGGGGAUAACGUUCGGAAACGGACGCUAAUACCGCAUACGUCCUACGGGAGAAAGCGGGGGAGUCUUCGGACCUCGCGCCAUUAGAUGAGCCUAGGUCGGAUUAGCUAGUUGGUGAGGUAAUGGCUCACCAAGGCGACGAUCCGUAACUGGUCUGAGAGGAUGAUCAGUCACACUGGAACUGAGACACGGUCCAGACUCCUACGGGAGGCAGCAGUGGGGAAUAUUGGACAAAUGGGCGGAAAGACCUGAUCCACGCCACUGCCGCGUGUGUGAAGAAGGUCUUCGGUAGUG